GAAAUGCGAUAAGUAAUGUGAAUUGCAGAAUUCAGUGAAUCAUCGAAUCUUUGAACGCACAUUGCGCCCGCCAGUAUUCUGGCGGGCAUGCCUGUUCGAGCGUCAUUACAACCCUCAGGCCCCCGUGCCUGGCGUUGGGGAUCGGCGGAAGCCCCCUGCGGGCACAACGCCGUCCCCCAAUACAGUGGCGGUCCCGCCGCAGCUUCCAUUGCGUAGUAGCUAACACCUCGCAACUGUAGAGCGGCGCGGCCACGCCGUAAAACACCCAACUUCUGAAUGUUGACCUCGAAUCAGGUAGGAAUACCCGCUGAACUUAAGC
Molecule: unclassified non-coding RNA, 319 nt
Filed under: plant metagenome
Description: partial contains 5.8S ribosomal RNA, internal transcribed spacer 2, and large subunit ribosomal RNA
Rfam family: 5.8S ribosomal RNA (bases 1-105)
Source: RNAcentral